RNAcentral lists this transfer RNA (83 nucleotides) under Gemmata sp. SH-PL17. Its description in RNAcentral is "tRNA-Tyr". Lineage: Bacteria; Pseudomonadati; Planctomycetota; Planctomycetia; Gemmatales; Gemmataceae. The record is from RNAcentral.
CUCCGGACGCGCGGUGGGCCGCCAGACUGCCUGUAAAGCAGUCGCCCCUUGUGGGCAAUGUGGGUUCGAUUCCCACCCGGGGC